RNAcentral lists this long non-coding RNA (1536 nucleotides) under Crocodylus porosus (Australian saltwater crocodile). RNAcentral's name for it is "lncRNA (ENSCPRG00005002431.1)". The record is from RNAcentral. Lineage: Eukaryota; Metazoa; Chordata; Crocodylia; Crocodylidae.
CUGCCAUGGGUCCAUUUUGCUGAGUCUCCUGUGUUACACGUGGCAGAGAGCGGAUGCUGAGAGGGAGAGUGAGCUCGGGUUUCUUCCACACCUCCUCUCUCACUUGCAGCCUCCGGCAUUUUAAGGAGGUCUGGGAAGUUCUGAUUCAGAGGCCGUGCCCCUCACUCCCAAGCUCAAUAGCUACUGAUGGCCCUUUCCUCCAAGACUCUUAACAUUUCCUAUACAGCCAGAUCUGAAGGCCAGUGGGCACGUGGGUCUGCGAUGCGUAGCAAUGUGAACAAAUCCUUUGGUCUCCAGCAUCACUGAUUUCAGUUCCUCUGUCACAUGCAUCAGCAUGUUUAAAGUGAAAUUGAGUCAUCUCCGUUCCUUGAUUUCGCUGUAAUGUGGUGAGUCACAGAUGCUGGAAAGAGCCAGCUAUGAGCCGGGAGCAGCUGGCAUCUCACAUGCUGAACCUUGUCUGAUGCAGGUGAGUGAGAAGUGUUAGGACCCACGGGUACUCAGGCAUCCACCUGCUGGCCUCUUGGGAGCAAGUGAGCCAGUCAGUCCCCUUCUGAAAGCCAAGAAGAAGGAACUUGGGGCCUGAUCUUGGAGCACCGUCAACUGUCCUGGAGGUCAUUUAGCAUCAAGAAUGCUCCACCCUUUGCUCCUGUGCUAACUAUGGCUGCUGCUCUCCAGCUUGCUGUGUGAGGUCCACACGAAAUGUUUCCUGAAAAACAUCCUCAGGCUUGUCCAGCUGGAGUGCAGAGAUCCUGCAAAUCAUCUCAGUAUUUGUUAGGCAGUUUCCCUUCCUUUCCUGUUGUCUGCAUCCAUGACCUCAGCAGAACUUGCUGGCCAGGACUGCAGAUUUGGUUUGCCAGCAGAUUCACAACACUCUGCAAAGACCUUGCCCUGAUCACAAAGGCACUUGACAUCUGGUUGUGGACCCAGCACGGAGAAGGCAUCAAGAAGCUGAUCCGGAGUCCAGGAUUUUAUGCUUCAACCCACUGACCCACCCUGAUGGGACACUCGAUCACUCUUGAGUUCUUUAAAGAGUAACAACAUUUCAGUGGUUAAAACAGUCCUUUGCUGAAAGGCCGUGCUCUUUGUUUCCUUCCACGUUGUCCUCAAAGGAUUAAAUUAGAGGUCCAGUGAUUCAAUAACCUUGGUGGGACUCUGGGAAAGUGGCUGUAAGCAACUGGGGGCUUGGAGGGCUGACACACCGGUUUGAGGGUCAAGCACAAGUGGGCUAUCAAAACCCACCUGAAGUUAGCACUUGAAGAGAUGAGAGGAUAGCCCCUCUUCCAGGGUCGUUGAGUCUUCAACACUUCUGCCGAGCCUGGGUGGCAGGGAUUUUUUUGAUGGGACCAAAACUUUGAGGCAGCUAUCCAAGGGUAACAACAUUAGACUCAACCCUCUGAGCUAGAGGUAGACGACUCCAUAAUACUUAGCACAUUCAGCUCAGCUUCCGCUUGCGGAUCCAUAGACCUUUUGCAGUGGACUCUUCAUCUUCAAAUGAUCCUCUUCCCUUUUAAUUUCUGAAUGUGACACAAGGCCAUU